UACAGAGGUCCCAAGCGUUGUUCGGAUUCAUUGGGCGUAAAGGGUGCGUAGGUGGUGCUGUAAGUCAGGUGUGAAAUCCCGGGGCUCAACCCCGGAACUGCACUUGAUACUGCAGUGCUCGAGGACUGGAGAGGAGAUCGGAAUUCAUGGUGUAGCAGUGAAAUGCGUAGAUAUCAUGAGGAAGACCAGUGGCGAAGGCGGAUCUCUGGACAGUUCCUGACACUGAGGCACGAAGGCCAGGGGAGCAAACGGG
RNAcentral lists this ribosomal RNA (253 nucleotides) under uncultured bacterium. RNAcentral describes it as "partial 16S ribosomal RNA". It matches the Rfam family "Bacterial small subunit ribosomal RNA", at positions 524 to 776 of the family's 1533-position model. The record is from RNAcentral.